Molecule: ribosomal RNA, 253 nt
Filed under: uncultured bacterium
Lineage: Bacteria
Description: partial 16S ribosomal RNA
Rfam family: Bacterial small subunit ribosomal RNA
Source: RNAcentral
UACGUAGGGCGCAAGCGUUGUCCGGAUUUAUUGGGCGUAAAGAGCUCGUAGGCGGUCUGUCGCGUCGGCUGUGAAAACCCGAGGCUCAACCUCGGGCCUGCAGUCGAUACGGGCAGACUAGAGUGUGGCAGGGGAGACUGGAAUUCCUGGUGUAGCGGUGAAAUGCGCAGAUAUCAGGAGGAACACCGGUGGCGAAGGCGGGUCUCUGGGCCGAUACUGACGCUGAGGAGCGAAAGCGUGGGGAGCAAACAGG